Molecule: long non-coding RNA, 745 nt
Filed under: Elaeis guineensis (African oil palm)
Lineage: Eukaryota; Viridiplantae; Streptophyta; Magnoliopsida; Arecales; Arecaceae
Description: long non-coding RNA (EGUI_LNC046258)
Source: RNAcentral
AUUGUCUCAGGAAAAUAUUGAUCAUAAAAUAUCCCUUUGAAUUUCUCCCAAGUCAGUUGAUCAUCAGAAUUUUCAUAAGCAGCUUUUAUUGUAGUCCACCAAAACUCAGUGUUUCCUUUCAACAUAGGCAUGACUAAUAUGACCUUUACAUUCUCGAGAUAUUGUAGGACAUCGAACAUCUUUUUCAUCUCUCGAAUCCAUGUCUCUGCAACCAAAGGAUCAGAUCCGUCUUCAAAUAGUGGUGGGUUGAGACUUCUGAAUCUCUCAUAGUAUGACUCCAUAGAUGAUGUAAAUCGAGGAGUGACUUGUGUCUGCUGUUGCAGAUAAGCUAGACCACCACUUGGCAUACUCCAAUAAUGUAUGUCUGAGUGGCCAAUGCAUUAAGAGCCCGCUCUAUCGGUUAGUUGGCAACUUCCUGCGACGUCAUUCUUGCUCCUCUUGUCCUAACAACCAUAAUUGCCAAGAUUUCAUCCUCUCUGUCGCUCAUCAUUUUCUAUCCAAAAUUUAACAUUAUUCUAUUUUUAUAACAGGACAGUAGUAUAGUUAAUAAAAUUUAUCAUUCUUUAUUCAAUUAAGUCAGAAUCUAACUAUACAUGGCAUAACUAUCCACUGCUAGAUUUUAAGUUCUAUCCAUAAUCAAACCUAUAGCUCUGAUAGCAUAAAAUAUCACGCCCUAAAUUCGAGACAUAAUAUGGCCAUGCUAUCAAGGGAUACAGCCUAUAAUAAUACAAAACCAACAUUCAUC